GCCCUUAGAGUUUGAUCUGGCUCAGAAUGAACGCUGGCGGCGUGCCUAACACAUGCAAGUCGCGCGAGAAAGCCCCUUCGGGGGUGAGUAAAGCGGCGGACGGGUGAGUAACGCGUGGACAACCUACCCUGGGGUUGGGGAUAACCCUGCGAAAGCGGGGCUAAUACCGAAUACGCUGUACAUUCCCUGGUUGUUAAUGGCUUCGAGGGUAUGUAUGGGAAAGGUGGCCUCUGUUGCAAGCAACCGCCCUGGGAUGGGUCCGCGUCCCAUUAGCUAGUCGGUGGGGUAACGGCCUACCGAGGCGACGAUGGGUAGCCGGCCUGAGAGGGUGAUCGGCCACACUGGGACUGGAACACGGCCCAGACUCCUACGGGAGGCAGCAGUGGGGAAUCUUGGGCAAUGGGCGCAAGCCUGACCCAGCAACGCCGCGUGUGGGAAGAAGGCCUUCGGGUCGUAAACCACUGUCAGGAGGGAAGAAAAGCAGAUGUCGAACAGGCAUCUGUCUUGACGGUACCUCCAGAGGAAGCGCCGGCCAACUACGUGCCAGCAGCCGCGGUAAGACGUGGGGGGCUAGCGUUGUCCGGAAUUACUGGGCGUAAAGGGCGUGUAGGCGGCCUAUCAAGUCAGUGGUGAAAGCCCUCGGCUCAACUGAGGAAUUGCCAUUGAAACUGGUGGGCUUGA
Molecule: ribosomal RNA, 681 nt
Filed under: uncultured delta proteobacterium
Lineage: Bacteria; Deltaproteobacteria
Description: bacterial SSU rRNA
Rfam family: Bacterial small subunit ribosomal RNA
Source: RNAcentral